RNAcentral lists this ribosomal RNA (492 nucleotides) under uncultured bacterium. RNAcentral's name for it is "partial 16S ribosomal RNA". It matches the Rfam family "Bacterial small subunit ribosomal RNA", at positions 29 to 507 of the family's 1533-position model. The record is from RNAcentral.
AGUGAACGCUGGCGGUAGGCCUAACACAUGCAAGUCGAACGGCAGCACAGUAAGAGCUUGCUCUUACGGGUGGCGAGUGGCGGACGGGUGAGGAAUACAUCGGAAUCUACUUUUUCGUGGGGGAUAACGUAGGGAAACUUACGCUAAUACCGCAUACGACCUACGGGUGAAAGCAGGGGAUCUUCGGACCUUGCGCGAUUGAAUGAGCCGAUGUCGGAUUAGCUAGUUGGCGGGGUAAAGGCCCACCAAGGCGAUGAUCCGUAGCUGGUCUGAGAGGAUGAUCAGCCACACUGGAACUGUGACACGGUCCAGACUCCUACGGGAGGCAGCAGUGGGGAAUAUUGGACAAUGGGCGCAAGCCUGAUCCAGCCAUACCGCGUGGGUGAAGAAGGCCUUCGGGUUGUAAAGCCCUUUUGUUGGGAAAGAAAAGCAGCAGGUUAAUACCCCGCUGUUCUGACGGUACCCAAAGAAUAAGCACCGGCUAACUUCGUG